CGGCAACAGCUCAAAUUUGAAAUCUGGCGUCUUCGACGUCCGAGUUGUAAUUUGCAGAGGGCGCUUUGGCAUUGGCAGCGGUCCAAGUUCCUUGGAACAGGACGUCACAGAGGGUGAGAAUCCCGUACGUGGUCGCUAGCCUUUACCGUGUAAAGCCCCUUCGAC
Molecule: ribosomal RNA, 165 nt
Filed under: Phoma herbarum
Lineage: Eukaryota; Fungi; Ascomycota; Dothideomycetes; Pleosporales; Didymellaceae
Description: partial large subunit ribosomal RNA
Rfam family: Eukaryotic large subunit ribosomal RNA
Source: RNAcentral